This 468-nucleotide ribosomal RNA is filed under the name uncultured bacterium. RNAcentral's name for it is "partial 16S ribosomal RNA". It matches the Rfam family "Bacterial small subunit ribosomal RNA", at positions 28 to 507 of the family's 1533-position model. The record is from RNAcentral.
GACGAACGCUGGCGGCGUGCUUAACACAUGCAAGUCGAACGGAAAGGCCCUGCUUUUGUGGGGUGCUCGAGUGGCGAACGGGUGAGUAACACGUGAGUAACCUGCCCUUGACUUUGGGAUAACUUCAGGAAACUGGGGCUAAUACCGGAUAGGAGCUCCUGCUGCAUGGUGGUGGUUGGAAAGUUUCGGCGGUUGGGGAUGGACUCGCGGCUUAUCAGCUUGUUGGUGGGGUAGUGGCUUACCAAGGCUUUGACGGGUAGCCGGCCUGAGAGGGUGACCGGCCACAAUGGGACUGAGAUACGGCCCAGACGCCUACGGGAGGCAGCAGUGGGGAAUAUUGCACAAUGGGCGGAAGCCUGAUGCAGCAACGCCGCGUGCGGGAUGACGGCCUUCGGGUUGUAAACCGCUUUCGCCUGUGACGAAGCGUGAGUGACGGUAAUGGGUAAAGAAGCACCGGCUAACUACGUG